UUAAGUGAAUAAGGGCGCACGGUGGAUGCCUUGGCACUAGGAGCCGAUGAAGGACGGGACUAACACCGAUAUGCUUUGGGGAGCUGUAAGUAAGCUAUGAUCCAGAGAUUUCCGAAUGGGGGAACCCAAUAUCUUUUAUAGGAUAUUACUUUUCAGUGAAUACAUAGCUGAUUAGAGGUAGACGCAGAGAACUGAAACAUCUUAGUACCUGCAGGAAGAGAAAGAAAAUUCGAUUCCCUGAGUAGCGGCGAGCGAAACGGGAAGAGCCCAAACCAACAAGCUUGCUUGUUGGGGUUGUAGGACUCCAAUAUGGUAGUCUGUUAGUAUAGUUGAAGGAUUUGGAAAAUUCCGCUAAAGAGGGUGAAAGCCCCGUAGACGAAAUGCUAACAACACCUAGGAGGAUCCUGAGUACGGCGGAACACGAGAAAUUCCGUCGGAAUCCGCGGGGACCAUCCCGCAAGGCUAAAUACUCCCUAGUGACCGAUAGUGAACCAGUACCGUGAGGGAAAGGUGAAAAGCACCCCGGAAGGGGAGUGAAAUAGAUCCUGAAACCGUGUGCCUACAACAAGUCAAAGCUCGUUAAUGAGUGAUGGCGUGCCUUUUGUAGAAUGAACCGGCGAGUUACGAUUGCAUGCGAGGUUAAGUCGAAGAGACGGAGCCGCAGCGAAAGCGAGUCUGAAUAGGGCGAAUGAGUAUGUAGUCGUAGACCCGAAACCAUGUGAUCUACCCAUGUCCAGGUUGAAGGUGCGGUAAAACGCACUGGAGGACCGAACCCACGUACGUUGAAAAGUGCGGGGAUGAGGUGUGGGUAGCGGAGAAAUUCCAAACGAACUUGGAGAUAGCUGGUUCUCUCCGAAAUAGCUUUAGGGCUAGCCUCGGAAUUGAGAAUGAUGGAGGUAGAGCACUGUUUGGACUAGGGGCCCAUCUCGGGUUACCGAAUUCAGAUAAACUCCGAAUGCCAUUCAUUUAUAUCCGGGAGUCAGACUGCGAGUGAUAAGAUCCGUAGUCGAAAGGGAAACAGCCCAGACCACCAGCUAAGGUCCCAAAAUAUAUGUUAAGUGGAAAAGGAUGUGGGGUUGCACAGACAACUAGGAUGUUGGCUUAGAAGCAGCCACCAUUUAAAGAGUGCGUAAUAGCUCACUAGUCGAGUGACCCUGCGCCGAAAAUGUACCGGGGCUAAACAUAUUACCGAAGCUGUGGACUACACCAUUAGGUGUAGUGGUAGGAGAGCGUUCUAAGGGCGUUGAAGGUCGAUCGUGAGGACGGCUGGAGCGCUUAGAAGUGAGAAUGCCGGUAUGAGUAGCGAAAGACAGGUGAGAAUCCUGUCCACCGUAUGACUAAGGUUUCCUGGGGAAGGCUCGUCCGCCCAGGGUUAGUCGGGACCUAAGCCGAGGCCGAUAGGCGUAGGCGAUGGACAACAGGUUGAUAUUCCUGUACCAGUUGUUUUUGUUUGAGCAAUGGAGGGACGCAGUAGGCUAAGGAAUGCAUGCGAUUGGAAGUGCAUGUCCAAGCAAUGAGUCUUGAGUAGAGUUAAAUGCUUUACUCUUUAAGGACAAGUUGUGACGGGGAGCGAAAUAAUAGUAGCGAAGUUCCUGAUGUCACACUGCCAAGAAAAGCUUCUAGUGAGAAAACAACUGCCCGUACCGUAAACCGACACAGGUAGUCGAGGAGAGUAUCCUAAGGUGAGCGAGCGAACUCUCGUUAAGGAACUCGGCAAAAUGACCCCGUAACUUCGGGAGAAGGGGUGCUGACUUCGGUCAGCCGCAGUGAAUAGGCCCAAGCGACUGUUUAUCAAAAACACAGGUCUCUGCAAAAUCGUAAGAUGAAGUAUAGGGGCUGACGCCUGCCCGGUGCUGGAAGGUUAAGAGGAUGGGUUAGCUUCGGCGAAGCUCAGAAUUGAAGCCCCAGUAAACGGCGGCCGUAACUAUAACGGUCCUAAGGUAGCGAAAUUCCUUGUCGGGUAAGUUCCGACCCGCACGAAAGGCGUAACGAUUUGGGCACUGUCUCAACGAGAGACUCGGUGAAAUUUUAGUACCUGUGAAGAUGCAGGUUACCCGCGACAGGACGGAAAGACCCCAUGGAGCUUUACUGUAGUUUGAUAUUGAGUGUUUGUACCACAUGUACAGGAUAGGUAGGAGCCGAUGAGACCGGAACGCUAGUUUCGGAGGAGGCGCUGGUGGGAUACUACCCUUGUGUUAUGAACCCUCUAACCCGCACCACUAAUCGUGGUGGGAGACAGUGUCAGAUGGGCAGUUUGACUGGGGCGGUCGCCUCCUAAAAGGUAACGGAGGCGCCC
Molecule: ribosomal RNA, 2296 nt
Filed under: Enterococcus faecalis EnGen0306
Lineage: Bacteria; Bacillati; Bacillota; Bacilli; Lactobacillales; Enterococcaceae
Description: bacterial LSU rRNA
Rfam family: Bacterial large subunit ribosomal RNA
Source: RNAcentral